Molecule: ribosomal RNA, 292 nt
Filed under: uncultured bacterium
Lineage: Bacteria
Description: partial 16S ribosomal RNA
Rfam family: Bacterial small subunit ribosomal RNA
Source: RNAcentral
GUGCCAGCCGCCGCGGUAAGACAGAGGGUGCGAACGUUGCUCGGAAUCACUGGGCGUAAAGCGCGUGUAGGCGGACGAUCAAGUCAGGUGUGAAAUCCCUGGGCUCAACCCAGGAACUGCAUCUGAAACUGGUUGCCUUGAGUGUUGGAGAGGGAAGCGGAAUUCCUGGUGUAGAGGUGAAAUUCGUAGAUAUCAGGAGGAACACCGGUGGCGAAGGCGGCUUCCUGGACAAUUACUGACGCUGAGACGCGAAAGCGUGGGGAGCAAACAGGAUUAGAAACCCCCGUAGUCC